Molecule: ribosomal RNA, 407 nt
Filed under: uncultured bacterium
Lineage: Bacteria
Description: partial 16S ribosomal RNA
Rfam family: Bacterial small subunit ribosomal RNA
Source: RNAcentral
AUUGAACGCUGGCGGCAGGCCUAACACAUGCAAGUCGAGCGGAGCGGCGGACGGGUGAGUAAUGCCUAGGAAUCUGCCUGGUAGUGGGGGAUAACGUCCGGAAAAGGGCGCUAAUACCGCAUCCUAUCAGAUGAGCCUACGUCGGAUUAGCGAGUUGGUGGGGUUAAGGCCUACCAAGGCAACGAUCCGUAACUGGUCUGAGAGGAUGAUCAGUCAUACUGGAACUGAGACACGGUCGAGACUCCGACGGGAGGCAGCAGUGGGGAAUAUUGGACAAGGGGCGAAAGCCUGAUCCAGCCAUGCCGCGUGUAUGAAGAAGGCCUUCGGGUUGUAAAGUACUUUCAGCGGGGAGGCGUUACCCGCAGAAGAAGCACCGGCUAACUCCGUGCCAGCAGCCGCGGUAAUUC